ACCCUGCUUUAUACAUGGGUAAACCACUUUAAGAUCUUUUCUGGGGUGAUAUGAGUCAGACUUAAUAGUGGAACUUUGUAAGCUGUCCAAGGGUUUCGGGGAGAAGGGAAAUCAGAACAGUGGGCAGAGGUUCGAGCUCUCAACCUCUUGGUGUCUCCUUCUGUUCCAUGUUGCAGGAGAAAAAAAAAAUCUCAGCUAGGUGUUUGUUUAUUGUAACCACAAGUAUGUGUCGGGGGUGUGUGGUAAGCAGUAUGGCAAUCAGGUGCAGGUUUUCAUACGGACACAUGUUCCACGGGUGCUCUGUGCAGUGUGUGCCUUCUGUCAUAAUGUCAAAAAAAAUAUGAAAUCGUGAAUGUACGAUCCCAUUUUGAAACACGUCGGGUUUCUUUCCUGACCCCGGGCUCUUCGAUCUCUUGCAGGCUCUGUCUUCAAUCAACACGUGUGACCCGUGACUUUUCACAUGUGGCUGCUGUUUCCUCCUGUCGUCCAUCAUCAUGCCAACCUUAAAAAGGGGAGCAGCACCGCAGCAUCAUGACCGUGGAGGAGACGAACCGCGAACGGGCAUCCACCUGCUUUUCCACGACCGAAGAGUGCGGACGCCCAACGGCAGCACCGCGCAUCAGCUGCGUGCGGAGGACGGGAAGGACGAGGAGGACGAAGAGGAUGCCGAGGAACACCGGAGGAUCGGGGGCCCAUCGGGGACAGGAAAGGGGCCCUCAGCAGGGGCCAAAUCCAACGUCUUCAGGCGGGAGCACAGCAGCUGAGAAGAAGUGAAUGGAAGCGCCAAUGUGGUGUCCUCCACUUGAAGAUGGACCUUCCACCAGUAGGACGCAAGAUGCGCUCAAUGAUGCAAUUCCACUUUCUGCCUUGGCUCCUGUACGGAAGCUUCCAGAACCCAUCAGCUCUUCUCAGGCGGGAGCGGAGACCCCAGUCCGAGGCUCGCUGCCAGGUCGUCGUGUGACAGCGCUGAGCCGCCGGCGCUCGUCCAGCAGGAUGCGGACUAAGAAGGAGACUGGCGGAGGAGCCGUGGCGGUUGGGCCUGCAGGCAAUGUUGGAGCAGGUGAGCCUCACGCCUCCACCACCGCAGGGGUCUCCUCCCUCGCUCACCUCUCCCCUCCCCUCCGUCUCCGUCUCCACGGGCGCGACGCGCGCGCGCUCGGAACCCCGUCCUGUUUGAAGUCUUGCUUUCGCUUGUGCGAAAAAGCUUCCCGGAGACACAGACCUAAAUAAAAAAAACGACAUGCCUCAGU
This 1250-nucleotide long non-coding RNA is filed under the name Scleropages formosus (Asian bonytongue). RNAcentral describes it as "lncRNA (ENSSFOG00015028487.1)". The record is from RNAcentral. Lineage: Eukaryota; Metazoa; Chordata; Actinopteri; Osteoglossiformes; Osteoglossidae.